This is a non-coding RNA of Oryctolagus cuniculus (rabbit), 45 nucleotides long. Lineage: Eukaryota; Metazoa; Chordata; Mammalia; Lagomorpha; Leporidae. The record is from Rfam.
AGACAGGAGCUUUUCAGCUCCACACCUAAAGAUAAAGAAACUGAA